GGUUCGUUAGCUCAGUGGCAGAGCACCCGGUCGUCACCCGGAAGGCCGCGGGUUCAAUUCCCGCACGGACCG
Molecule: transfer RNA, 72 nt
Filed under: Humisphaera borealis
Lineage: Bacteria; Pseudomonadati; Planctomycetota; Phycisphaerae; Tepidisphaerales; Tepidisphaeraceae
Description: tRNA-Asp
Rfam family: tRNA
About the family: Transfer RNA (tRNA) molecules are approximately 80 nucleotides in length. Their secondary structure includes four short double-helical elements and three loops (D, anti-codon, and T loops).
Source: RNAcentral